UUAAAAACACGUAGAAGGAUAUGAAAACCAGGGAAUCAUUGAUUUUGGAGGGCGAAGAUGCCGCCAGGUAUUCCCAUUCCCUCACCCCCCCAAAAAAGAAAAAAAAAAGGUUUAACUCCUCCUUUGAUUAUUGAUCUGUUAUAUUUAUUUUGUUAUAAUCGAUUUUCAAAUUUAUGCUACUACAUUUUUAAUUUCUGUUUUUUGUUUUCUAAAAUAUAAAUUAUUUGACUAAUAUUUGAUAACAGUUUUCUGCUUAUUUGUUUUGAAUAAAAACUGAUUGUUUUUCUAUUUCAUGAAAUUGUAAUUUAAAUCUAAAAACAAAAGACAAAAGUUAUUAAGCCUUUGUUUGAAAGAUCAUAUUUCCAAAGAAUUUCUAGUGUGUUCGUCAUUUUUCUCGAAAAUACAUUGAAUCUUUUUCAUCCUAACUUUUAUUUUAUAUCGAAGUUGAGCUUUUGAGCUAAAUCAUAUUUUCUUUUGAACGAACCUUUUUUAUUCUCUUAACAUUCCUUAUUUUAUCACGAUUUCAGUUUUAGUAGAUUACAAAACAGAAGGGUAAAUCCUUUUUCAUAAUUUGGGUUGCCUUCCUUCUAACAUAUUUUCCUUCAAACCAUCUUUUCUUCCCUUCGACUUUUAUCCAUCUGACCGCUUCUUCUCUCCUCUCUAAAAUUUUAUUCUUCAACCUUACCUUAUCUUUUAAUUUUAAAAUAGAAUAUCUAAUCGGCAAUCUUUACUCUUUUAAUUACUCUCUUCAACAUUACCUUUUUAUCUUUUAAUUUCAAAAUAGAAUAUCAAAUUGACA
Molecule: non-coding RNA, 799 nt
Organism: Cucurbita pepo subsp. pepo (vegetable marrow)
Lineage: Eukaryota; Viridiplantae; Streptophyta; Magnoliopsida; Cucurbitales; Cucurbitaceae
Source: RefSeq, a predicted model, not a curated record